GAGAGAGUAGUGUUGGAAAUCUAAAAGUUUGCAAACAUCAUUGUCAAUAAAUACACUUUCACCGAAGCAGAGAGUUUGAGAAAAGAAUUUUGGCACGAGCAAUUAUAUUUUGUUCUUUAAUUCAUUUUAUUUAGCAAGGUAAGGUAAUUUAUGCGCAAGCAUUUUCAUUUUCUUAUACUUUUAUAUUCAAUUAAAUAUGCAUGAAUUGCAAGUGGACCUUUGAAUUCUUUAAAAAGAGAGAUGAAAUCUUACGGGAUUAUAAGUGAACCUAAAAUGGUCGUGUCGCUUGGUCACCGAUAUACUUCAUAAGAGCAUAGUGGUAUGAAGUGUGGGGUUUAUUUAUUAUAUAAUUGUGUAUGAAAAUUGCACAUAUCUUACUGGGUGUUUUUGAAUACUCAUUCUUAUAAAUUUUCUCUCAGGUUAGUCCGGGUCGAUUGAAACUGUGGCGAAUUGGUGAUGUGGACUGCCAAAGGGGUCCAAGGAAAAGGAAAAUAAACAUUUACCCCAUUUGGCCCCCAUUUUCCUUCUCAUUCUUUUUCUCUCUCUUAUUUUCAACCACACAAUCUUCCAUAAAAUAAUAUUAUAUGCAAAUCAAAAACUUUUCAUUCUUUUUCAACCACACAUUUUUUUAAAAAACGAUAUUCCAACCAUUAAAAUUUGGAAAGAAUAGGGGCCAAACUCUGGCUUCAUAUUUCUUUUUACGUCUCUAAAUUAUUUGUUAUUUUUAUUUGUUCAAAGACUCGUUUGUUUAUUUUAAAUUGAUAUUUAUGUUUGAAAAUAAAGAAUUUCUUUUUAUGUAAGUUGUUUCGCAUUUAUUAAAGAGAAAAUUGUGUUUUUCUUAAAGCUUUAGCGUUUAUAAAAAAAAAUUUGGGCGUUACAGUGUAGUAUUAGAGUCCGGUUCUACUUUUCCAUAGAAAUUAAAAAAAAAAAAAUAUGUGAACAGUAAACGUCACUGUUCACAUGAACAGUGAUAAAAAGAAAAAGGUAUUUUUUAAAAAAAAAUGGUUUCUUGGUUUCUUUUAUUCUGAAGAAUAAAUGUUUGUUUAGAAUGAUUUUGAAUAACAGUAGUUUAGAAUUUAAAUUGUUAUGGUUUAAUGUCCAUAGUUUAAGUUUCACAUGUGAUAAAUUUUUAUGUGUUUAACUUUAGCCCUUGGUUAUGUUUUAAAAAUGUACCAAUUUGAAAAUUUACAUUUUAAGAGAUUUCACGUUUGACUUAUUGUUUGAGUUUUAUUUAUUUGCAUAAUUGUAAAAUUGAAAGGGUUUGUUAAAAGACCUAAAUUGUCUAAGAAGAGUUUGGGAUUUAAGUGGUCCACCUGUAACCCCCUCCUCAUCCGGAAGCCUUUUAAAUGUGCGUUAUUCAAAUCGACAAGGCAGAAAACAAUAUUUCAAACAUUCUAAUUUUAAAAAAAUGUUAUAAGAAUACUUGGCAUGUGGCGCUUACUAUUCGAUCACUCUCCAGAAAUUAACCCAUUUUAAAUUUGAUAGGAUGGCUACCACAAAUUUAUUGGAUGGGGAUGGCAAUUCUUUCAUCGAAUUAGAGAGUUUGAGAAAAGUGUGCAUACAUCAUUGUCAAUCAAUAAACUUUCACAGAAGCAGAGAGUUUGAAAAAGGAAUUUUGCCACGAGCAAUUAUAUUUCAUUCAUUAAUUCAUUUUAUUUAGCAGGGCAAGAUACUUUAUGUGCAAGUAUUUUCAUUUCCUUAUGCUUUUAUAUUCAAUUAAAUAUGCAUGGAUUGCAAGUGGAACAUCGGGUCCUUUAAAAAGAGAGAUGAAAUCCUACGAGAUUAUAAGAGGACCUAAUAUGGAUGUCUCGUUUGGUUGCCAAUAUGCUCUAUAAGAGUAGAUUGGUAUGAAGUGUAUAUUUUAUUUGUUAUAUAAUUGUGUAUCAAAACUGUACGUGUCUUACUCGGUGUUUUUGAAUGCUCACUCUUACAAUUUAUUUCUCAAGUUAGUCCGGUCGAUUGGAACUAUGGCGAAUUGGUGAUGCAGACUACCAAGGGGAUCCAAGGAAAAGGAAAAUAAUCAUAUAGUUUUCCUUUUUAUGUCUCUAAAUUAUUUGUUAGUUUUGUUUGUUAAAAGACU
RNAcentral lists this long non-coding RNA (2080 nucleotides) under Olea europaea subsp. europaea. Lineage: Eukaryota; Viridiplantae; Streptophyta; Magnoliopsida; Lamiales; Oleaceae. The record is from RNAcentral.